Cyprinus carpio carpio is the source of this 1192-nucleotide long non-coding RNA. NCBI's taxonomy places the organism in Eukaryota, Metazoa, Chordata, Actinopteri, Cypriniformes, Cyprinidae. The record is from Ensembl.
CUCCAUUCACCAAAAGCAUAGGAAGAGAGGGGGUUACAAUAGUUUCAUCUGGAUUAUAGAUUGUGGUAUUGCUUUGAUAAUGAUAUCAUACUGUUUUCUAUCAAAUAAAUAAAAUUUUGAACAGAAAGUCUCAAAAGACAUAAUGACUCCAGUAUUGUCUAAAAUAUGCAUUACAGACCAUAUUCCUUUCUCCCAACAAUUUUGGUAAAAUAAAGACUUAUUCCUAAAUAUAACAAACCUACAGUUCCACAAAGGGAUGUUAUGGGGACUGAAAUUAUGCUUGGAGAUCAUUUUCCAGUGAAGUAAAACCUGUUGAUGAAACGCUGAUAACAACAGGAUCAGCGAGAUUUUUUGUGCACACGUCAGCAUGACAUCAGAGCAAGGCGGAGGUAACUCGGACACUUUUCUAACCGGCAUGCAUCUCGCGAUGAUCACUGCGCAGAUUUUGCCAUAGGAUUUUGCUCAUCUCAAACAAGCGUAAUCUCUUGUGGGGGCGGGGCUAGCAGCGGUGUGUUCUCAUUCGCUACUGAGUUUUCGAUUGACAGCUUGAAGUUUCUUGACCAGGAAGUGAAAGCGUCAAUGUUGCGUGUGGAUGAAUUACACAAGCUUCAGUCUGGAUCCAGAACACCUGAGAAGAGAUGAUACCAACACCUCAGAGAUGGCAAAACAACAUACAGAACAACCAAAUUUUGCUAUAAGUUUGAUUGCAUCAUAUGAUAAUUGCUGUUAAUAGUGUUCUUCGUCUGUUUGAUUAAGCCUUUAAUUGAUUUUCCAUACAUUUCUGCCAUAUGUACAUAAACUGACAGUCACCACUGAUAUGGUACUACUAAAUAUUGUAGAAACUUAAUUUUCUGUAAAGUUGCUUUGCAACGAUUUGUAUUGUAAAAAGCGCUAUACAAAUAAACUUGAACUGAAUUUAAUUGAAUUGAAUACAGUAACAGGAGCAAUUGCAUUUUUGGUCCAAUUGGAGGAGCUAUGUCUCAGCUGCCUUUGAGGGUGUGUUAAAAUUUCCACUAUGGCCUUAUUCACAAGGCACUUGACUGUCACCACACAAAAUUUCAAACAUUUUUUCUUUAAAAUUCUACAGUUAAAAUGUUUGAAAUUUUAAAUGGUAACAGUCGAUUCCUUUGGAAAUAAAGCCCCGUUAUAUAUAACUUUUAACGCAUCCUAAAAGCCAGCUGAGAUAUUGCAC